UGACGAGUUUGAUCCUGGCUCAGAUUGAACGCUGGCGGAAUGCUUUACACAUGCAAGUCGAACGGUAGAGGGGGCAACCCCUCGAGAGUGGCGAACGGGUGAGUAAUAUAUCGGAACGUGCCCAGUCGUGGGGGAUAACGUAGCGAAAGUUACGCUAAUACCGCAUACGAUCUAAGGAUGAAGCGGGGAUCGCGAAGACCUCGCGCGAUUGGAGCGGCCGAUAUCAGAUUAGGUAGUUGGUGGGGUAAAGGCUCACCAAGCCGACGAUCUGUAGCUGGUCUGAGAGGAUGGCCAGCCACAUUGGGGACUGAGACACGGCCCAAACUCCGUACGGG
This 335-nucleotide ribosomal RNA is filed under the name uncultured Comamonadaceae bacterium. RNAcentral describes it as "bacterial SSU rRNA". It matches the Rfam family "Bacterial small subunit ribosomal RNA", at positions 1 to 345 of the family's 1533-position model. The record is from RNAcentral. Lineage: Bacteria; Pseudomonadati; Pseudomonadota; Betaproteobacteria; Burkholderiales; Comamonadaceae.